CACCACAACCCGGGGCCUAGUGUGGGGCAAUUCCACGUUUUCCGCGCCGUACUAACGCAUUAAGUGCCCCGCCUGGGGAGUACGGCCGCAAGGCUAAAACUCAAAGGAAUUGACGGGGGCCCGCACAAGCGGCGGAGCAUGCGGAUUAAUUCAAUGCAACGCGAAGAACCUUACCAAGGCUUGACAUGAACCGGAAAGACCUGGAAACAGGUGCCCCGCUUGCGGUCGGUUUACAGGUGGUGCAUGGUUGUCGUCAGCUCGUGUCGUGAGAUGUUGGGUUAAGUCCCGCAACGAGCGCAACCCUCGUUCUAUGUUGCCAGCGCGUGAUGGCGGGGACUCAUAGGAGACUGCCGGGGUCAACUCGGAGGAAGGUGGGGACGACGUCAAAUCAUCAUGCCCCUUAUGUCUUGGGCUUCACGCAUGCUACAAUGGCCGGUACAAAGGGUUGCGAUACUGUGAGGUGGAGCUAAUCCCAAAAAGCCGGUCUCAGUUCGGAUUGGGGUCUGCAACUCGACCCCAUGAAGUCGGAGUCGCUAGUAAUCGCAGAUCAGCAACGCUGCGGUGAAUACGUUCCCGGGCCUUGUACACACCGCCCGUCAAGUCACGAAAGUUGGUAACACCCGAAGCCGGUGGCCUAACCCUUGUGGGGGGAGCCGUCGAAGGUGGGACCGGCGAUUGGGACUAAGUCGUAACAAGGUAGCCGUACCGGAAGGUGUGGCU
This 720-nucleotide ribosomal RNA is filed under the name Paenarthrobacter aurescens. RNAcentral's name for it is "bacterial SSU rRNA". It matches the Rfam family "Bacterial small subunit ribosomal RNA", at positions 798 to 1519 of the family's 1533-position model. The record is from RNAcentral. Lineage: Bacteria; Bacillati; Actinomycetota; Actinomycetes; Micrococcales; Micrococcaceae.